Molecule: long non-coding RNA, 351 nt
Filed under: Dromaius novaehollandiae (emu)
Lineage: Eukaryota; Metazoa; Chordata; Aves; Casuariiformes; Dromaiidae
Description: lncRNA (ENSDNVG00000018172.1)
Source: RNAcentral
UUCUUUAUUUUGUUUUUCACAGGAAGGGUAGAAACAUCUUUUAGCCUCACUCCAAGAGACAUUAGCUUUCAGAAGCUUUUGCAAGGACCAUGUUGUUUCCUAUUGGCUAUUUCAGAGUCAGAAAGAAACUCCUUGAAGUCCUGAAGGACAAAACUCUGAUUUGCAACAGCAUUUUCCUCCUUCUUUGUUCAUUUCCUUCAGGUCUGGGCUGUGGCUCCUCGUGACACACCACCUCCCAGACGUACUAUGGAACAGUGCCCUUAGAUCCUGUGGAGCAUUAAGGUGACCUUAAACUAUGAUUAGUUACCAUUCUGGUCAAUGAUAUUUUGCCCCUAUACAAACUAGCUACUG